RNAcentral lists this ribosomal RNA (587 nucleotides) under uncultured bacterium. RNAcentral's name for it is "bacterial SSU rRNA". It matches the Rfam family "Bacterial small subunit ribosomal RNA", at positions 338 to 916 of the family's 1533-position model. The record is from RNAcentral.
CCUACGGGAGGCAGCAGUAGGGAAUCUUCCGCAAUGGACGAAAGUCUGACGGAGCAACGCCGCGUGAACGAUGAAGGCCUUCGGGUCGUAAAGUUCUGUUGUCAGGGAAGAACAAGUACCGGAGUAACUGCCGGUACCUUGACGGUACCUGACCAGAAAGCCACGGCUAACUACGUGCCAGCAGCCGCGGUAAUACGUAGGUGGCAAGCGUUGUCCGGAAUUAUUGGGCGUAAAGCGCGCGCAGGCGGUUCCUUAAGUCUGAUGUGAAAGCCCCCGGCUCAACCGGGGAGGGUCAUUGGAAACUGGGGAACUUGAGUGCAGAAGAGGAGAGCGGAAUUCCACGUGUAGCGGUGAAAUGCGUAGAGAUGUGGAGGAACACCAGUGGCGAAGGCGGCUCUCUGGUCUGUAACUGAUGCUGAGGCGCGAAAGCGUGGGGAGCGAACAGGAUUAGAUACCCUGGUAGUCCACGCCGUAAACGAUGAGUGCUAAGUGUUAGAGGGUUUCCGCCCUUUAGUGCUGCAGCAAACGCAUUAAGCACUCCGCCUGGGGAGUACGGCCGCAAGGCUGAAACUUAAAGGAAUUGACGG